GACGAACGCUGGCGGCGUGCUUAACACAUGCAAGUCGAACGGAAAGGCCCUUCUUUUGUGGGGUGCUCGAGUGUCGAACGGGUGAGUAUCACGUUAGUAACCUGCCCUCGACUUUGGGCUAACUUCAGUAAACUGUGGCUAAUACCGGAUAGGAGCUCCUGCUGCAUGGUGGGGGUUGGAAAGUUUCGGCGGUUGGGGAUGGACUCUCGGCUUAUCAGCCUGUUGUUGGUGUAGUGUCUUACCAAGGCUUUGACGGGUAGCCGGCCUGAGAGGGUGACCGGCCACAUUGGGACUGAGAUACGGCCGAGACUACUACGGGAGGCAGCAGUGGGGAGUAAUGCACAGUGGGCGGAGGACUGAUGCAGCAACACCGCGUGCUGGAUGAAGAACGUCGGGGUGUAAACCGCUUUCGCCUGUGAAGAAGAGUGAGUGACGGUAAUGGGUAAAGAAGCACCGGCUAACUACGUG
This 468-nucleotide ribosomal RNA is filed under the name uncultured bacterium. Its description in RNAcentral is "partial 16S ribosomal RNA". It matches the Rfam family "Bacterial small subunit ribosomal RNA", at positions 28 to 507 of the family's 1533-position model. The record is from RNAcentral.